RNAcentral lists this RNase P RNA (341 nucleotides) under Butyricicoccus sp. RNAcentral's name for it is "RNase P RNA component class A". It matches the Rfam family "Bacterial RNase P class A". Rfam says of the family: Ribonuclease P (RNase P) is a ubiquitous endoribonuclease, found in archaea, bacteria and eukarya as well as chloroplasts and mitochondria. Its best characterised activity is the generation of mature 5'-ends of tRNAs by cleaving the 5'-leader elements of precursor-tRNAs. The record is from RNAcentral. Lineage: Bacteria; Bacillati; Bacillota; Clostridia; Eubacteriales; Butyricicoccaceae.
UGAGUAAUCCAGACAGUCGCGUGCCGGCCUGACCGGCAUGAGGAAAGUCCGGGCUGCACAGGGCAAGGAUAGCAGAUAACGUCUGCCGGGGGCGACCCUAGGAAUAGUGCAACAGAGAUAUACCGCCGCGUUUUCCAAACGCGGUAAGGUUGGAAAGGCGAGGUAAGAGCUCACCACGCCCCAUGGUAACAUGGGGGGUCUGUAAACUCUAUCCGCAGCAACGUCAACUGGGAUUAUGGGCGGCCCGUCCGUCCCGACCGACGGCUUGAGGCGUGUGGCGACAUGCGUCCCAGAUAGAUGAUUGUCAAAUACAGAACCCGGCUUACAGGCUUGCUCACGCU